ACGUGUGGUUCUAUUUUGUUGGUUAUGGGACCGCCGUAAUGAUUAAUAGGGACAGUCGGGGGCAUCAGUAUUCAAUUGUCAGAGGUGAAAUUCUUGGAUUUAUUGAAGACUAACUACUGCGAAAGCAUUUGCCAAGGAUGUUUUCAUCAAUCAGGAACGAAAGUUAGGGGAUCGAAGACGAUCAGAUACCGUCGUAGUCUUAACCAUAAACUAUGCCGACUAGGGAUCGGGCGAUGUUACUUUUUGACUCGCUCGGCACCUUACGAGAAAUCAAAGUUUGUGGGUUCCUGGGGGAGUAUGGUGGCAACGCUGAAACUUAAAGAAAUUGACGGAAGGGCACCACCAGGGGUGGAGCCUGCGGCUUAAUUUGACUCAACACGGGGAAACUCACCAGGUCCAGACACAAUGAGGAUUGACAGAUUGAGAGCUCUUUCUUGAUUUUGUGGGUGGUGGUGCAUGGCCGUUCUUAGUUGGUGGAGUGAUUUGUCUGCUUAUUUGCGAUAACGAACGAGACCUUAACCUGCUAAAUAGCCCGUGUUGCUUCUGCAGCACGCCGGCUUCUUAGAGGGACUAUCGGCUCAAGCCGAUGGAAGUUUGAGGCAAUAACGGGUCUGUGAUGCCCUUAGAUGUUCUGGGCCGCACGCGCGCGACACUGACAGGGCCAGCGAGUUCUCCCUUGUCCGAGAGGACCGGGUAAUCUUGUUAAACCCUGUCGUGC
RNAcentral lists this ribosomal RNA (718 nucleotides) under uncultured fungus. RNAcentral's name for it is "SSU rRNA". It matches the Rfam family "Eukaryotic small subunit ribosomal RNA", at positions 827 to 1570 of the family's 1831-position model. Lineage: Eukaryota; Fungi. The record is from RNAcentral.